GAAAAGAACUUUGAAAAGAGAGUUAAACAGUACGUGAAAUUGUUGAUAGGGAAACGAUUAAAGUCAGUCGUACCAGCGGGAAAUCAACCUUUCGAGAGUGGUAUUUUGGAGUUUUGAAGAGUGUUAAAAACCUUUGAGAUUUCAAAAUUUUCGCUUUUUUGGUGUACUUUCUCGUAGGUAGGUUAACAUCGAUUUUUGAUCAUCAUAAAAGGACCGGAGGAAUGUAGCUUCGAUCUCGUAUUGAAGUGUUAUAGACUUUGGUAAAUGUGAUGAUUAGGAUCGAGGAUUGCAACGAAUACC
This 300-nucleotide unclassified non-coding RNA is filed under the name uncultured Agaricomycetes. Its description in RNAcentral is "sequence contains 5.8S rRNA gene, ITS2". The record is from RNAcentral. Lineage: Eukaryota; Fungi; Basidiomycota; Agaricomycetes.